This 431-nucleotide ribosomal RNA is filed under the name Henneguya adiposa. RNAcentral describes it as "SSU rRNA". It matches the Rfam family "Eukaryotic small subunit ribosomal RNA", at positions 1215 to 1504 of the family's 1831-position model. The record is from RNAcentral. Lineage: Eukaryota; Metazoa; Cnidaria; Myxozoa; Bivalvulida; Myxobolidae.
UUACUGGUCCGGACAUCAAAAGGAUAGACAGACUGCCAGAUCUUUCUUGAUAUGGUGAUUGGUGGUGCAUGGCCGUUCUUAGUUCGUGGAGUGAUCUGUCAGGCCAAUUCCGGUAACGAACGAGACCACAUUCUCCAUUUGACGAGUCGGAGAAGGCGUUGGCAUCGUGUAUUUUUGUUCGCAAAGGUGCGUGGUGUCGGCGCUGAAGGCAUCGUGAAGCAGCACCGUGUACAUCGGCCGAGGUGGCGACAUUGAGACCGGUGUGCACGGGGUUAACUUUGCGCUCCCUCCGGCUUAGCAGUACAUCUCUCGCAAGGGUGGUGUAUUGCAUCAUGGAGAGACAACGGAAUAUAUCAAAAAAAUCCGAGGAAGUGUGGCUAUAACAGGUCUGUGAUGCCCUUAGAUGUUCAGGGCUGCACGCGCGCUACAAU